This 150-nucleotide unclassified non-coding RNA is filed under the name soil metagenome. RNAcentral describes it as "partial internal transcribed spacer 1". The record is from RNAcentral.
CCGAGUUUACAACUCCCAAACCCCUGUGAACAUACCUUAUCGUUGCCUCGGCGGAUCAGCCCGCGCCCCGUAAAAAGGGACGGCCCGCCCGCAGGAACCCCUAAACUCUGUUUUUAGUGGAACUUCUGAGUAAAACAAACAAAUAAAUCA